GUUGCACCGUUUCCUCAUCGACGGGACGGAAUGUCAGGCCGUGGGGACUGUGACUGGGAAGUGUAAGUUGGGAUUAACUCGCAGACCGGAGCGCUGACCCGGGUGGUCCUAGACUCCCUCAGGCUGCCAGGAAAAAGCCAAGUUAGGGGCCCAGAAAUACACACAGUGCCUUGGGCGACCCUCAAAUAGGAUGUGAGCGAAAAUCAUCAAAGGAGUCCACACUGCUGUGCACCGAAGAGCCCGAGCGCCGGAGUGUUUGCUUUUAUGAACCUUGGGACCAUCGCAAGUUUACCACGUAGUGAAUGUUGGAAAUGAUCGAUUGAGCGAUUGCAUCAAAGAGCAAAGGCAAACUGUCUACUAAGCCAGAAUUAGAACCCACAUUUCUAUGGCUUAGUUCAGUGUUUGUUCAUCAGGAACGAAUAGACCUUCGACUCCUGCACUUUGCCCAGCAGUGGCUGGACUGUCACCCCUCUCUUCUGAGGGAAGAGAAGAGCCAACCUGAGGGCUGACUGAAGUCACUUAUGAAAAGCAAAAGGUCUGCGUCUCCCUUCUCUGGUGAGAACCCAGGUCUCCAGCCAUGCCAUCGUGUUACUCAAUCAGUCCUACCCGAGACAAAAGAAGUGUCAGGGUUAUUUUAACGAUGCCACGCUCUCAGUGGAGUGACCAAGUUCAGCAUUUCUUUGGACCGCAUUCUACCAGCAAUAUAUAGUUAGAUCACUAAUUCGAAAAUGACUUGAAUUCAUUUUUUAAUUGUAGGUAUGUGAUGUGGCCAUCAAUUCAAUUUGAACCUCAGUUCUUUACUCUGUA
Molecule: long non-coding RNA, 807 nt
Organism: Tupaia belangeri chinensis (Chinese tree shrew)
Lineage: Eukaryota; Metazoa; Chordata; Mammalia; Scandentia; Tupaiidae
Exons: 5
Source: RefSeq, a predicted model, not a curated record